GACGAACGCUGGCGGCGUGCUUAACACAUGCAAGUCGAACGGAAAGGCCCUGCUUUUGUGGGGUGCUCGAGUGGCGAACGGGUGAGUCACACGUGAGUAACCUGCCCUUGACUUUGGGAUAACUUCAGGAAGCUGGGGCUAAUACCGGAUAGGAGCUCCUGCUGCAUGGUGGGGGUUGGAAAGUUUCGGCGGUUGGGGAUGGACUCGCGGCUUAUCAGCUUGUUGGUGGGGUAGUGGCUUACCAAGGCUUUGACGGGUAGCCGGCCUGAGAGGGUGACCGGCCACAUUGGGACUGAGAUACGGCCCAGACUCCUACGGGAGGCAGCAGUGGGGAAUAUUGCACAAUGGGCGGAAGCCUGAGGCAGCAACGCCGGGGGCGGGAUGACGGCCUUCGGUUGUUAAACCGCUUUCGCCUGGGACGAAGCGUGAGUGACGGUAAUGGGUAAAGAAGCACCAGCUAACUACGUG
RNAcentral lists this ribosomal RNA (468 nucleotides) under uncultured bacterium. Its description in RNAcentral is "partial 16S ribosomal RNA". It matches the Rfam family "Bacterial small subunit ribosomal RNA", at positions 28 to 507 of the family's 1533-position model. The record is from RNAcentral.